UGGGGAAUCUUGGACAAUGGGGGAAACCCUGAUCCAGCAACGCCGUGUGAGUGAUGAAGGUCUUCGGAUUGUAAAGCUCUGUUAGCCGGGAAAAAACUCGUGAGCAUCAGAUCCUCACGAUUGAUGGUACCGGCAGAGGAAGCACCGGCUAACUCUGUGCCAGCAGCCGCGGUAAUACAGAGGGUGCGAGCGUUAUUCGAAAUUAUUGGGCGUAAAGCGCAAGUAGGUGGUGAGAUAAGUCUUGUGUGAAAUACUCGGGCUCAACCCGAGAGGGUCAUAGGAAACUGUCUCGCUAGAGUGCAAUAGGGGAGAGCGGAAUUCCCAGUGUAGUAGUGAAAUACGUAGAUAUUGGGAGGAACACCGGCGGCGAAGGCGACAUCCUGGACCAAUUCUGACGCUGAGGCUCGAAAGCGUGGGGAGCAAACAGGAUUAGAUACCCUUGUAGUCCCUGAGCGGGCUGGCAAGGCGCAU
RNAcentral lists this ribosomal RNA (471 nucleotides) under uncultured bacterium. RNAcentral's name for it is "bacterial SSU rRNA". It matches the Rfam family "Bacterial small subunit ribosomal RNA", at positions 355 to 825 of the family's 1533-position model. The record is from RNAcentral.